CUGGCGGCGUGCCUAACACAUGCAAGUCGAGCGAGGAGAUCCUUCGGGAUGAUCCUAGCGGCGGACGGGUGAGUAACACGUGGGCAACCUGCCUCAUAGAGAGGAAUAGCCUUCCGAAAGGGAGAUUAAUACCUCAUAACAUUGCAGUUUCGCAUGGAACAGCAAUUAAAGGAGUAAUCCGCUAUGAGAUGGGCCCGCGGCGCAUUAGCUAGUUGGUGAGGUAACGGCUCACCAAGGCGACGAUGCGUAGCCGACCUGAGAGGGUGAUCGGCCACAUUGGGACUGAGACACGGCCCAGACUCCUACGGGAGGCAGCAGUGGGGAAUAUUGCACAAUGGGGGAAACCCUGAUGCAGCAACGCCGCGUGAGUGAUGACGGCCUUCGGGUUGUAAAGCUCUGUCUUCAGGGACGAUAAUGACGGUACCUGAGGAGGAAGCCACGGCUAACUACGUGCCAGCCGCCGC
This 464-nucleotide ribosomal RNA is filed under the name uncultured bacterium. RNAcentral describes it as "bacterial SSU rRNA". It matches the Rfam family "Bacterial small subunit ribosomal RNA", at positions 36 to 518 of the family's 1533-position model. The record is from RNAcentral.